RNAcentral lists this ribosomal RNA (492 nucleotides) under uncultured bacterium. RNAcentral describes it as "partial 16S ribosomal RNA". It matches the Rfam family "Bacterial small subunit ribosomal RNA", at positions 29 to 507 of the family's 1533-position model. The record is from RNAcentral.
AGUGAACGCUGGCGGUAGGCCUAACACAUGCAAGUCGAACGGCAGCACAGUAAGAGCUUGCUCUUACGGGUGGCGAGUGGCGGGCGGGUGAGGAAUACAUCGGAAUCUACUUUUUCGUGGGGGAUAACGUAGGGAAACUUACGCUAAUACCGCAUACGACCUACGGGUGAAAGCAGGGGAUCUUCGGACCUUGCGCGAUUGAAUGAGCCGAUGUCGGACUAGCUAGUUGGCGGGGUAAAGGCCCACCAAGGCGACGAUCCGUAGCUGGUCUGAGAGGAUGAUCAGCCACACUGGAACUGAGACACGGUCCAGACUCCUACGGGAGGCAGCAGUGGGGAAUAUUGGACAAUGGGCGCAAGCCUGAUCCAGCCAUACCGCGUGGGUGAAGAAGGCCUUCGGGUUGUAAAGCCCUUUUGUUGGGAAAGAAAAGCAGCAGGUUAAUACCCCGCUGUUCUGACGGUACCCAAAGAAUAAGCACCGGCUAACUUCGUG